RNAcentral lists this long non-coding RNA (278 nucleotides) under Musa acuminata (dwarf banana). Its description in RNAcentral is "long non-coding RNA (MACU_LNC011248)". The record is from RNAcentral. Lineage: Eukaryota; Viridiplantae; Streptophyta; Magnoliopsida; Zingiberales; Musaceae.
AACAAUGCUCAGCUCUUGAAAGAGAUUAUUAGAGACUCAAGAUCCUAUAUGGAGCAUGAUCUCAAAAUCGAGCACUUCAUCCGAAGAGAAAAAGAUAUCUUUAUCAAAUUUAAUUUUGCUAUUAGCUAAAGAUCUUGGGAAUGAUGCCAAAUAAUGUACCCAUAGGUAGUUAUAGUCUACAGCAUGUGUAGUCAUAACUAUCGCAUUCGCACUCUAUGAGUUACUUGGCUUUGUCUAUGACUUGUAUAGAUAAAGCUAUUUGUAGAAACUUUACGCAU